Molecule: ribosomal RNA, 429 nt
Filed under: Chloroflexota bacterium
Lineage: Bacteria; Bacillati; Chloroflexota
Description: Chloroflexi bacterium partial 16S ribosomal RNA
Rfam family: Bacterial small subunit ribosomal RNA
Source: RNAcentral
UGGGGAAUAUUGCACAAUGGGCGCAAGCCUGAUGCAGCCAUGCCGCGUGUAUGAAGAAGGCCUUCGGGUUGUAAAGUACUUUCAGCGGGGAGGAAGGGAGUAAAGUUAAUACCUUUGCUCAUUGACGUUACCCGCAGAAGAAGCACCGGCUAACUCCGUGCCAGCAGCCGCGGUAAUACGGAGGGUGCAAGCGUUAAUCGGAAUUACUGGGCGUAAAGCGCACGCAGGCGGUCUGUCAAGUCAGAUGUGAAAUCCCCGGGCUUAACCCGGGAAUUGCAUCUGAUACUGGUCAGCUAGAGUCUUGUAGAGGGGGGUAGAAUUCCAUGUGUAGCGGUGAAAUGCGUAGAGAUGUGGAGGAAUACCGGUGGCGAAGGCGGCCCCCUGGACAAAGACUGACGCUCAGGUGCGAAAGCGUGGGGAGCAAACAGG